CAAUAGCGUAUAUUAACGUUGUUGCAGUUAAAAAGCUCGUAGUUGGAUUUCUGGGGGGAGCGUCGGCCCGUAUUUACGAGUGCGUGACGUCUCUGUCCAUCCUUGCGGGAAGGCACGGCAUUGAUUUGUUGUGUCGGAUCGCAUCAUUUACUGUGAAAAAAUUAGAGUGUUCAAAGCAGGCUUUCGCUUGAAUACAUUAGCAUGGAAUAAUAAGAUAGGACUUUGGUGCUAUUUUGUUGGUUGAGCCUAAAGUAAUGAUUAAUAGGGAUAGUUGGGGGCACCUGUAUUGCGUUGUCAGAGGUGAAAUUCUUGGAUUUACGCAAGACAAACAGCUGCGAAAGCGUCUGCCAAGGAUGUUUUCAUUA
RNAcentral lists this ribosomal RNA (365 nucleotides) under uncultured eukaryote. RNAcentral describes it as "partial 18S ribosomal RNA". It matches the Rfam family "Eukaryotic small subunit ribosomal RNA", at positions 592 to 975 of the family's 1831-position model. The record is from RNAcentral.